GGGGUGUACACGAGUGGCGAACGGGUGAGUAAUACGUGAGUAACCUGCCCUUCCUUUUGGAUAAGCCUUGGAAACGGGGUCUAAUACUGGAUAUUCUGCGUCCCACGCAUGUGGGGUGUUGGAAAGGGUUUUUCUGAGGGGGGAUGGGCUCGCGGCCUAUCAGCUUGUUGGUGGGGUGAUGGCCUACCAAGGUGGUGACGGGUAGCCGGCCUGAGAGGGUGACCGGCCACACUGGGACUGAGACACGGCCCAG
Molecule: ribosomal RNA, 253 nt
Filed under: uncultured Actinomycetales bacterium
Lineage: Bacteria; Bacillati; Actinomycetota; Actinomycetes; Actinomycetales
Description: partial 16S ribosomal RNA
Rfam family: Bacterial small subunit ribosomal RNA
Source: RNAcentral